UUAGAUACCCUGGUAGUCCACGCCUUAAACGAUGUCAACUAGGUGUUGGGAAGGAGACUUCUUUAGUACCGCAGCUAACGCGUGAAGUUGACCGCCUGGGGAGUACGGUCGCAAGAUUAAAACUCAAAGGAAUUGACGGGGACCCGCACAAGCGGUGGAUUAUGUGGAUUAAUUCGAUGCAACGCGAAAAACCUUACCUACCCUUGACAUGUCAGAAAGAUUGCAGAGAUGCGAUUGUGCCCGAAAGGGAAUCUGAACACAGGUGCUGCAUGGCUGUCGUCAGCUCGUGUCGUGAGAUGUUGGGUUAAGUCCCGCAACGAGCGCAACCCUUAUCAUUAAUUGCCAUCAUUUAGUUGGGCACUUUAAUGAGACUGCCGGUGAUAAACCGGAGGAAGGUGGGGAUGACGUCAAGUCCUCAUGGCCCUUAUGGGUAGGGCUUCACACGUAAUACAAUGGCGCGUACAGAGGGUUGCCAACCCGCGGGGGGGAGCUAAUCUCAGAAAGCGCGUCGUAGUCCGGAUUGGAGUCUGCAACUCGACUCCAUGAAGUCAGAAUCGCUAGUAAUCGCGGAUCAGCAUGUCGCGGUGAAUACGUUCCCGGGUCUUGUACACACCGCCCGUCACACCAUGGGAGUGGAAUCUGCCAGAAGUAGUUAGCCUAACCGCAAGGAGGGCG
This 675-nucleotide ribosomal RNA is filed under the name uncultured bacterium. RNAcentral describes it as "bacterial SSU rRNA". It matches the Rfam family "Bacterial small subunit ribosomal RNA", at positions 778 to 1452 of the family's 1533-position model. The record is from RNAcentral.